This 642-nucleotide ribosomal RNA is filed under the name Wolbachia endosymbiont of Balloniscus sellowii. Its description in RNAcentral is "bacterial SSU rRNA". It matches the Rfam family "Bacterial small subunit ribosomal RNA", at positions 131 to 807 of the family's 1533-position model. The record is from RNAcentral. Lineage: Bacteria; Pseudomonadati; Pseudomonadota; Alphaproteobacteria; Rickettsiales; Anaplasmataceae.
UAGUAGUACGGAAUAAUUGUUGGAAACGGCAACUAAUACCGUAUAUGCCCUACGGGGGAAAAAUUUAUUGCUAUUAGAUGAGCCUAUAUUAGAUUAGCUAGUUGGUGGAGUAAUAGCCUACCAAGGCAAUGAUCUAUAGCUGAUCUGAGAGGAUGAUCAGCCACACUGGAACUGAGAUACGAUCCAGACUCCUACGGGAGGCAGCAGUGGGGAAUAUUGGACAAUGGGCGAAAGCCUGAUCCAGCCAUGCCGCAUAAGUGAAGAAGGCCUUUGGGUUGUAAAGCUCUUUUAGUGAGGAAGAUAAUGACGGUACUCACAGAAGAAGUCCUGGCUAACUCCGUGCCAGCAGCCGCGAUAAUACGGAGAGGGCUAGCGUUAUUCGGAAUUAUUGGGCGUAAAGGGCGCGUAGGCUGGUUAAUAAGUUAAAAGUGAAAUCCCGAGGCUUAACCUUGGAAUUGCUUUUAAAACUAUUAAUCUAGAGAUUGAAAGAGGAUAGAGGAAUUCCUGAUGUAGAGGUGAAAUUCGUAAAUAUUAGGAGGAACACCAGUGGCGAAGGCGUCUAUCUAAUUCAAAUCUGACGCUGAAGCGCGAAAGCGUGGGGAGCAAACAGGAUUAGAUACCCUGGUAGUCCACGCUGUAAAC